RNAcentral lists this ribosomal RNA (432 nucleotides) under uncultured Actinomycetes bacterium. RNAcentral describes it as "bacterial SSU rRNA". It matches the Rfam family "Bacterial small subunit ribosomal RNA", at positions 917 to 1348 of the family's 1533-position model. The record is from RNAcentral. Lineage: Bacteria; Bacillati; Actinomycetota; Actinomycetes.
GGGCCCGCACAAGCGGCGGAGCAUGCGGAUUAAUUCGAUGCAACGCGAAGAACCUUACCAAGGCUUGACAUGGACCGGAUCGCCGCAGAAAUGUGGUUUCUCCUUUGGGGCCGGUUCACAGGUGGUGCGUGGUUGUCGUCAGCUCGUGUCGUGAGAUGUUGGGUUAAGUCCCGCAACGAGCGCAACCCUCGUUCCAUGUUGCCAGCACGUGAUGGUGGGGACUCAUGGGAGACUGCCGGGGUCAACUCGGAGGAAGGUGGGGAUGACGUCAAAUCAUCAUGCCCCUUAUGUCUUGGGCUUCACGCAUGCUACAAUGGCCGGUACAAAGGGUUGCGAUACUGUGAGGUGGAGCUAAUCCCAAAAAGCCGGUCUCAGUUCGGAUUGGGGUCUGCAACUCGACCCCAUGAAGUCGGAGUCGCUAGUAAUCGCAGA